This 589-nucleotide ribosomal RNA is filed under the name Aschersonia andropogonis. RNAcentral's name for it is "SSU rRNA". It matches the Rfam family "Bacterial small subunit ribosomal RNA", at positions 232 to 831 of the family's 1533-position model. The record is from RNAcentral. Lineage: Eukaryota; Fungi; Ascomycota; Sordariomycetes; Hypocreales; Clavicipitaceae.
UCUUCCGGGAUAGGUAGUAGUUAAGGUGAUGGCUUAACUAGCCAAAAACUCUCGUAGUCGAAGCUGAAAGGUUGAUCGACCACAUUGGGUCUGAAAAAACCCCAAUGCAAGUUAGUACAGCAGUGAGGAAUCUUGGUCAAUGGCCUAACGGCUGAACUGGCAACUUGGAGAAGUGGCAAGUCUUAUUUUGAUUAUAUUACUAUAUAUAAUCUAUAAGAUUGUAUUAAAAUUGAAUAAAGCUUUGUUUAUAUAUUGAUAAUGACAGUAUAUAUAUCGUGUCUUGACUAAUUACGUGCCAGCAGUCGCGGUAAUACGUAAGAGACUAGUGUUAUUCAUCUUGAUUAGGUUUAAAGGGUACCUAGACGGUCAAUAUAUCUUCUAAAAUGUUAGUACUUGACUAGAGUUUGAUAUAAGAGGGCAGUACUUGAGGAGGAGAGAUGAAAUUCUAUUAUACCAAAGGGACUCGGUAAAGGCGAAGGCAGCCCUCUAUGUAAAAACUGACGUUGAAGGACGAAGGCACAGAGCACAAACAGGAUUAGAUACCCAAGUAGUCUUUGCAGUAAAUGAUGAAUGCCAUAGGUUAGAUUAA